CUUGGUCAUUUAGAGGAAGUAAAAGUCGUAACAAGGUUUCCGUAGGUGAACCUGCGGAAGGAUCAUUACUGAUUUAGCAAACCGAGCGUUAGCGAGGUUCUGCGAUCACUUAUAUUUAAAACCCCACUCUUUAAAUUUUAUAUAUUAUUUUUAAAUGAUUAAAAAUUAAGAUCACUUUCAACAACGGAUCUCUUGGCUCUCGCAUCGAUGAAGAACGUAGCGAAGUGCGAUAAGUAAUGUGAAUUGCAGUAUUCCGUGAAUCAUCGAAUCUUUGAACGCAAAUUGCACUUUCUGGUAUUCCGGAAAGUAUGCCUGUUUGAGGGUCAGUUAAAUGAAAAUCGGUGUCGUUGCUACCCUUAGUGGUGGUAACGCAUCGGAGUUGAGUCGUCUUUACCUUUUUUUGGUUAAGUGACUUAAAAUUUUGAACGAUUUUUUGAACGUAUUUAAAUUCUUACGUACGUUCUUAACAUCAUAUAUUUAUUAGGUGUGGUCAUUCCUAUGAUUCGCGUCUAUAAUUUUUCAUUAUUUGACCUCAAAUCAGGUAAGAGUACCCGCUGAACUUAGGCAUAUCAAUAAGCGGAGGA
RNAcentral lists this ribosomal RNA (584 nucleotides) under uncultured Glomeromycotina. RNAcentral describes it as "eukaryotic LSU rRNA". The stretch from base 173 to 326 matches the Rfam family "5.8S ribosomal RNA". The record is from RNAcentral. Lineage: Eukaryota; Fungi; Glomeromycota.